CUCUGUGUCCCUAUAUUACUUGCCUCCUUUUGUAUGCUAUGGUAUUUUGAUUCCUCCUUUAAUUAUCUCCCAAAUGAUGUUCUUUAUGCCUUUCAUGCUGAUGGGAGCUGGCCCUUAUCUCAAAUAUUUAUUAUACAUCAGCCAUUGAAAUUUUGUGGCCUCUUAAAUUCAGAAGCUCUGGAUAUUUUCUAUGCACUUCCAGAUACUCGAGAGCUUAUCGAGAAGAGGACUAAUAUGGGUCUUGAGUGAUCCCAAGGUGAUGUCAUGUUAGGAAGAAGAUGUCUGAAUACCCUCAUUCUCAUAGCGAUUAGAGAAAGAUAAGAAUAAGUUUGGGAUACCAAAAGGUUAUGGAAAAAUGCUUGAAACAUAGACAAGAGAAUUGCUGUAUCAUGCAUAUGGGCCAGAAGUGUUGCAGAGGAAGCAAGAAAAGCAGUUAUGACCCACUGGAAUCAUGGUCGCCUUCCUCCCCAUCAUCACCGACAUUAGCCCUCUCCUCUGAUCUCCCUCAAAAGAUCCCCGAAAAAGAGAAAGAAAUGAAAAGAAAAAGAAGGGAACAAUGAAUAACGGAUUGAGUUUGCAAAAUAACGGAUUGAAUGUGAUUAUGUACAGAAAUUUUUGCUUCACCAUGGAGGUUACCACACAGGUUCUUUAUUCAAAUCAGAUAUGGUCUAAAUCGAUGGAUGGAUGGCGAUAAUCAUUACAUGUCUUAAGAUUUCCUCUUCAAAGAUGUGGUUCAGUGUCAAAUCCUACAUAUGAAUCAGCCAACGUCCUCUUUUUGACUCUGGGGUUUUUGACUAUUUUCUUUCCAAUCUUUUGUAAUCAGUAUGCAUAUAUUGAUAUAGUGUUUCAAACAAAUGUCAGAAUUGUUAACUUCAA
Long non-coding RNA from Elaeis guineensis (African oil palm), 876 nucleotides. RefSeq lists it as uncharacterized. Lineage: Eukaryota; Viridiplantae; Streptophyta; Magnoliopsida; Arecales; Arecaceae. The record is from RefSeq and is a predicted model, not a curated record.